Molecule: non-coding RNA, 3217 nt
Organism: Heterocephalus glaber (naked mole-rat)
Lineage: Eukaryota; Metazoa; Chordata; Mammalia; Rodentia; Bathyergidae
Source: RefSeq, a predicted model, not a curated record
AGUAGUUUCAGGAGAGAUCACCAGCAUUUUGUUGUAUCCUGUUGCUGUUACAGACCUACCAUCUAGUUCCAUGUGGAAGAGGACCACACAAGGAAUUUCCCAGCACAUCUUCCUUGCAGCUGGCUUCAAAAGAGAAAGCUCCUGGGAUUCCAGGUGCUUGGGUCCUCAGGUGUCUCUUCCCAGUUCUGCAAACCUUCCCUGGAGCAGCGAUGGUUUUGAAUCCUCGAUCAUCUCAAUUUCUCUCUUCCAGUUAAUGCAGUGCCAUCAGACAUAUUGCCCUGAAGAUCAAGUCCGGGUCAUUCCAUCAAUUCACUGCGGUUUACGAAGAUAGAGAAAAAAGCCAGGCUGUGUGGGCUAUCAACUUCAAAUGGCUUAGUAAACAUGCUUUGGCUGUUUUAACUGCUUCACUUCUGACUCUGGACCUUUGUGCUUCUGGACAAGACCACCCAAAUCAGCCCCGCUGGAUAUGGUAGAUGCAGCCCUGAAGCCAGGAGGCCUUGGGAGAGGAAGAAGCACAUCUGGAGAGUUCCCAGCCAGAGUGGUUGCAACAGGACUUGGAGGGAGGCUUGUAUCCAGCAUUGACUGAGGAUGCUACCUAAGUUCCAACAGUUUGUCUCACCAGCCAGAGAACUUGGCAGCUGGUGGGGGAAAAGGAAGAAGAGAGGCGUGUUCCUUUAGUAAUAGGUUUUGUAGCAGGGUUGGGAUUCCUAAUCCAAUCCAUCUUCUCUCUACAGGAGCUGCUGGUCAGUGAUAAUGGUUUCAAAAGAUGAAAACUCUGUAAGUCAUUUUUCAUGGGAUGAGGUGUCACCAAGGGCAGGACACACACAGAGAACAGCACACUUAUUGGAAGAGAUGAUCUCUCAGGAAGAGAAUGAACAUUUCUUGCCCCAGGGAGAGAGGGAAGGAGUGGAAGAGGUGGCAUUUGGUUAGAUUGCUGAUGUUUGCACAGAUAAAACACUAGAUGUCUCUUGAGAAUCCAGUGCAGUUAUUACAUUGGGUGCAAAGAAUCUUGAAUUAUUAUUAUAUUCCUUGUACUUAUGCAUGAUGUCAAAAUUUGAAAUCCUAUGCUCCAAAUUCUGGUGAUACAGUAUUUGCAGAAAAGUGACAGUGACUCUAAAUAUUAUUAAAAAGUGUAUUGUUUGCAAGGCCUUAAUAGAGUUUAAAUGCAGACUAUUGGCUUUGUCUUGUUCUAGGAAGCUGCCAUAUUCAGCAUUUAAAGUGAGAUUUGUCAGAUCCCAAGCUUAUGUCGAUUCUAUAAAAGUUUAAUGAUCUACUUCCAGGUCUAGCAACAUUUAGGAUUUAUUUACAAUCUUUAUUAUAAAAUUUGUCCAAAAUAUACACAUUCCUCAAAGGCUUCUGAGAUUAGUGGCAGAAAUAUAAAUGCACCAAGUGAAAUAUGGCAGAUGGUAAAAUCUGUUUGCUAGGCAUUUUUUGCUUUUUAAUCUUAUUUAUUUUUUCAUUUUGCUUUUCUUUUCUAUUUAGCAUAUACUGAAGGAGGAAAGAAAAGCCCUUCUGUUUCUAUGGAAUGUUUUAGGGGAAGCUGUUGAAGAGGUUGGUUACUAAAGGAAAAAUUCUUUCAUGUGUAGUCUUCUCCUCACCCUUCUGGGUAUUUAGCAAAUUUGGAGUUGGAAUCAGGAUAAGAAACUAGGAAUUGUGAAAUCAAGGAGUGUGUGGGAAGAAAGGUUGGAGAUCAUCUAAGACAAUUCUUUUAUUUUACAAAUGAGGAUGCAGCUACAUUCUACUGGAAAAUUACAGUUGAUUGGUUGCAUGUGGUCUUCUAAUUACAAAACUCCAACAAUUCAGAAUUCUCUGCAACUCAGCCUCUGUGCUGUAGAUGCAUCCUUGCCUCAAAAUUCCUUGACUUCCUCUAGCAUAGUACUAGUUACAUUCACUUUCAUGCUGCAAACACAGUGCCUUAUAACUUACCACCUGUUAGGUUGGUGGUUGUCAAAUGUUAAAGUGUCUCCAAGAGAGCUGAGAUGCUUGUGAGAAACAGACUCCUGCCUUUAAUUAUGAGAUUCUUCUGUGAGUCCAUAGAGGCUUUGUAGUCUGCAUUUGAAACAAGUAUCUCAGCUGAUUCACGAGUUCCAGAGUUCCCAUGGCUUAAAAUGCUGCUUUAUCACAUAAUUGCUUACAUGGUCUAGGCCAAGUGACCAGAAGGCUUUAAGCCACAGUUAACAUCUGUAAAACGGGCCUAUGCAUACCCGACUCAUAGGAUUGCUAUGGCAAUCUGUGAAGUUUAUGAAGAUUGCUUAGAAGGCAUUUCCUUAUGGCUCUAUGUCUACAGUUUAGGUUAACACAAAAAAGGCUAAUGAAAAUCUUAAUAUCUAAAAGCAAAUUGUAAAAACCUAAUCAAUAGAGUUUUCAGUAAAUAAGUGUUCCUUUGUGGAAUAAAAUAAUUCAUAAUUAUUAUAAAACAACAAUGUUCUCUUCCUCAAUGGAUCAGUGACUUUUUAAUAUAUAAGAACUUUAACAAAUGACACACUUAUAGGUUUGUUGGGUCCUAGUGGAGGGCUGGAAUGGGGGUACCUAACUUAUGAGUUCAGUCACAAGUCAUCCCUCUUUUUCUUUUUUUUUAUCCCUCUUUUUCUAUCCCCAGUUGUUUACACACUAAAGGAUUCCUCAAGCCCACACACUCACUGGGACCCCAUCCUCUUCCUUCUUGACAGUCCACAGAAAGGGUUCCCUUCAUCCCUUCCAGAGUUUCUUGGCUGUCUGCCAUUUGUGCAACCCAGUGAUAGGCAUAUAGUAUUUAAUGAUUAUGAACCAUAGUAAACACCCACUGCAGGCAUUUGGAUGAGAUGGAAAUCAUUGUGGGUGGAGUGGUUAGGGACAGCCUUUGGGGUGGUGGUGGGAGCUGAGGAUUCCUGAGACAUCCAGGCAGGAGAACCAGGAUUUUGCCCUCUGUUCAGAUAGCUAGGUUUGGGCAGAGAGCCCAUGCAGAGAAAAGAUUGCAAGGUGAGUUGGAGUUGGUCAGAAAAUGUGCUGCUGAACUGGAGGUAAAAAAGAGUUACUAUUAGAAAAGAACAUUUUCUAUAACAUAGGCAAAACCUUGAAGUCAUAGGCAUAGGCAAGGACUUUAUGAAGAUAAUUCCAAUUGCACAAGAAAUAGCAUCAAGAUUCAACAAAUGGGAUCUUAUCAAAUUAAAAUCCUUCCACACUCCAAAAGAAACAAACAGAAUGAAGAGACAAAUUACAGAAUGGGAAUUUUUUUUUU